CGAAAGCCUGACGGAGCAAUACCGCGUGAGGGAGGAAGGCUUUUGGGUUGUAAACCUCUUUUGUCAGGGAAGAAAAUUUGACGGUACCUGAAGAAAAAGCAUCGGCUAACUCCGUGCCAGCAGCCGCGGCAAUACGGAGGAUGCAAGCGUUAUCCGGAAUAAUUGGGCGUAAAGGGUCCGCAGGUGGCCAUUCAAGUCUGCUGUCAAAGACCGUGGCUCAACCACGGAAAGGCAGUGGAAACUGUUUAGCUAGAGUACGGUAGGGGUAGAGGGAAUUCCCAGUGUAGCGGUGAAAUGCGUAGAUAUUGGGAAGAACACCGGUGGCGAAAGCGCUCUACUGGGCCGAAACUGACACUGAGGGACGAAAGCUAGGGUAGCGAAAGGGAUUAGAUACCCCUGUAGUCUUAGCUGUAAACGAUGGAUACUAGGUGUAGCUUGUAUCGACCCGAGCUGUGCCGAAGCUAACGCGUUAAGUAUCCCGCCUGGGGAGUACGCACGCAAGUGUGAAACUCAAAGGAAUUGACGGGGGCCCGCACAAGCGGUGGAGUAUGUGGUUUAAUUCGAUGCAACGCGAAGAACCUUACCAGGGCUUGACAUGUGGCGAAUCUCUGUGAAAGCAGGGAGUGCCUUAGGGAGCGCCAACACAGGUGGUGCAUGGCUGUCGUCAGCUCGUGUCGUGAGAUGUUGGGUUAAGCCCCGCAACGAGCGCAACCCUCGUUUUUAGUUGCCAUUUUAAUGGCUCUCUAGAGAGACUGCCGGGGACAACUCGGAGGAAGGUGGGGAUGACGUCAAGUCAGCAUGCCCCUUACGCCCUGGGCUACACACGUACUACAAUGGUUGGGACAAAGGGCAGCAAACCCGCGAGGGCAAGCGAAUCUCAUCAAACCCAGCCUCAGUUCAGAUUGCAGGCUGCAACUCGCCUGCAUGAAGGAGGAAUCGCUAGUAAUCGCAGGUCAGCAUGCUGCGGUGAAUUCGUUCCCGGGCCUUGUACACACCGCCCGUCACACCAUGGAAGCUGGCUACGCCCGAAGUCGUUACCCUAACCCUUAGGGGAGGGGGAUGCCGAAGGUAGAGCUAGUGACUGAGGUGAAGUCGUAACAAGGUAGCCGUACCGGAAGGUGUGGCUGGAUCACCUCCUUUA
RNAcentral lists this ribosomal RNA (1141 nucleotides) under uncultured Synechocystis sp. RNAcentral describes it as "bacterial SSU rRNA". It matches the Rfam family "Bacterial small subunit ribosomal RNA", at positions 376 to 1533 of the family's 1533-position model. The record is from RNAcentral. Lineage: Bacteria; Bacillati; Cyanobacteriota; Cyanophyceae; Synechococcales; Merismopediaceae.